UACGGGGGGAGCAAGCGUUGUUCGGAUUUACUGGGCGUAAAGGGCGCGUAGGCGGCCACCGCAAGUCGGUUGUGAAAUCUCCGGGCUUAACCCGGAAAGGUCAAUCGAUACUGCGGGGCUAGAGUGCAGAAGGGGCAACUGGAAUUCUCGGUGUAGCGGUGAAAUGCGUAGAUACUGGGAGGAACACCGGUGGCGAAGGCGGCUACCUGGACCGGAACUGACGCUGAGGCGCGAAAGCGUGGGUAGCAAACAGG
This 254-nucleotide ribosomal RNA is filed under the name uncultured bacterium. Its description in RNAcentral is "partial 16S ribosomal RNA". It matches the Rfam family "Bacterial small subunit ribosomal RNA", at positions 524 to 776 of the family's 1533-position model. The record is from RNAcentral.